CCUACGGGUGGCUGCAGUGGGGAAUAUUGGACAAUGGGGGGAACCCUGAUCCAGCCAUGCCGCGUGUGUGAAGAAGGCCCUCGGGUUGUAAAGCACUUUCAGUGAGGAAGAACGCCUGGUGGUUAAUACCCAUCAGGAAAGACAUCACUCACAGAAGAAGCACCGGCUAACUCCGUGCCAGCAGCCGCGGUAAUACGGAGGGUGCGAGCGUUAAUCGGAAUUACUGGGCGUAAAGCGCGCGUAGGUGGCUUGAUAAGCCGGUUGUGAAAGCCCCGGGCUCAACCUGGGAACGGCAUCCGGAACUGUCAAGCUAGUGUGCAGGAGAGGAAGGUAGAAUUCCCGGUGUAGCGGUGAAAUGCGUAGAGAUCGGGAGGAAUACCAGUGGCGAAGGCGGCCUUCUGGACUGACACUGACACUGAGGUGCGAAAGCGUGGGUAGCAAACAGGAUUAGAUACCCUUGUAGUC
RNAcentral lists this ribosomal RNA (465 nucleotides) under Vreelandella stevensii. Its description in RNAcentral is "partial 16S ribosomal RNA". It matches the Rfam family "Bacterial small subunit ribosomal RNA", at positions 338 to 795 of the family's 1533-position model. Lineage: Bacteria; Pseudomonadati; Pseudomonadota; Gammaproteobacteria; Oceanospirillales; Halomonadaceae. The record is from RNAcentral.